RNAcentral lists this ribosomal RNA (731 nucleotides) under uncultured bacterium. RNAcentral's name for it is "bacterial SSU rRNA". It matches the Rfam family "Bacterial small subunit ribosomal RNA", at positions 771 to 1501 of the family's 1533-position model. The record is from RNAcentral.
AACAGGAUUAGAUACCCUGGUAGUCCACGCCGUAAACGAUGUCGACUUGGAGGUUGUUCCCUUGAGGAGUGGCUUCCGGAGCUAACGCGUUAAGUCGACCGCCUGGGGAGUACGGCCGCAAGGUUAAAACUCAAAUGAAAUUGACGGGGGCCCGCACAAGCGGUGGAGCAUGUGGUUUAAUUCGAUGCAACGCGAAGAACCUUACCUACUCUUGACAUCCACGGAAUUCGGCAGAGAUGCCUUAGUGCCUUCGGGAACCGUGAGACAGGUGCUGCAUGGCUGUCGUCAGCUCGUGUUGUGAAAUGUUGGGUUAAGUCCCGCAACGAGCGCAACCCUUAUCCUUUGUUGCCAGCGAUUCGGUCGGGAACUCAAAGGAGACUGCCGGUGAUAAACCGGAGGAAGGUGGGGAUGACGUCAAGUCAUCAUGGCCCUUACGAGUAGGGCUACACACGUGCUACAAUGGCGCAUACAAAGAGAAGCGACCUCGCGAGAGCAAGCGGACCUCAUAAAGUGCGUCGUAGUCCGGAUCGGAGUCUGCAACUCGACUCCGUGAAGUCGGAAUCGCUAGUAAUCGUGGAUCAGAAUGCCACGGUGAAUACGUUCCCGGGCCUUGUACACACCGCCCGUCACACCAUGGGAGUGGGUUGCAAAAGAAGUAGGUAGCUUAACCUUCGGGAGGGCGCUUACCACUUUGUGAUUCAUGACUGGGGUGAAGUCGUAACAAGGUAACC